Molecule: long non-coding RNA, 216 nt
Filed under: Elaeis guineensis (African oil palm)
Lineage: Eukaryota; Viridiplantae; Streptophyta; Magnoliopsida; Arecales; Arecaceae
Description: long non-coding RNA (EGUI_LNC023714)
Source: RNAcentral
GUGCGGUGUGACUUUUGCACUGUAAAAUACGGUAUUAUCAUGGAUAGCCACCAUAUCAUUCAUCCUGAGGAUGGAUAAUUCUUUCUUCACCUCCACAACGCACUGUGUAUCAUACUUGAAAGUAUUCGAACAUGUUCCUAAUUAAAUUAAUGAGAUAGAUGAUGUGACGUCUAUCCAUGAUGCUACAAAAUUCUACGGUGCAAAAAUUAUGCCGCU